UACGGGGGGAGCAAGCGUUGUUCGGAUUUACUGGGCGUAAAGGGCGCGUAGGCGGCCACCGCAAGUCGACUGUGAAAUCUCCGGGCUUAACCCGGAAAGGUCAGCCGAUACUGCGGGGCUAGAGUGCAGAAGGGGCAACUGGAAUUCUCGGUGUAGCGGUGAAAUGCGUAGAUAUCGAGAGGAACACCGGUGGCGAAGGCGGGUCUCUGGGCCGAUACUGACGCUGAGGAGCGAAAGCGUGGGGAGCGAACAGG
Molecule: ribosomal RNA, 254 nt
Filed under: uncultured bacterium
Lineage: Bacteria
Description: partial 16S ribosomal RNA
Rfam family: Bacterial small subunit ribosomal RNA
Source: RNAcentral